This 161-nucleotide ribosomal RNA is filed under the name uncultured bacterium. RNAcentral's name for it is "partial 16S ribosomal RNA". It matches the Rfam family "Bacterial small subunit ribosomal RNA", at positions 337 to 496 of the family's 1533-position model. The record is from RNAcentral.
UCCUUCGGGAGGCCGCCGUAGGGGAUUUUUCGCCAAGGCCGCAAGUCUGACGGAGCCACACCGCCUGAGUGAAGAAGGCCUCCGGGUCGUAAAACUCUGUUGUCCGGAAGAACAAAUACUUGUUAAUAAGCGGCACCUGACGUNCCGCCAAGCAGUCGAGG